This 198-nucleotide ribosomal RNA is filed under the name Dicellarius bimaculatus fictus. Its description in RNAcentral is "partial small subunit ribosomal RNA". The record is from RNAcentral. Lineage: Eukaryota; Metazoa; Arthropoda; Diplopoda; Polydesmida; Xystodesmidae.
CCUUUGGAUUACAAUUUCGGUUGGAAGAACGGAUAUGGGCCUGGAAGUUGGUUUAUGGAAGGUGGAUUUGUGAGUAAUAUUUACUAUAAAAUUGUUGAGUGAAAAGUGGAAUAACAUGUGUACAUAUUGCCCGUCGCUCUCUUAGUUUUUGAGAUAAGUCGUAACAUAGUUGGUGCACUGGAAAGUGUAUCUUUUUGU